UACGUAGGGUGCGAGCGUUGUCCGGAAUUAUUGGGCGUAAAGGGCUCGUAGGCGGUCUGUCACGUCGGGAGUGAAAACACGGGGCUUAACCCCGUGCCUGCUUCCGAUACGGGCAGACUAGAGGUAGGCAGGGGAGAACGGAAUUCCUGGUGUAGAGGUGAAAUUCGUAGAUAUUCGGAGGAACACCAGUGGCGAAGGCGACUCACUGGCCCGAUACUGACGCUGAGGCGCGAAAGCGUGGGGAGCAAACAGG
RNAcentral lists this ribosomal RNA (253 nucleotides) under uncultured bacterium. RNAcentral describes it as "partial 16S ribosomal RNA". It matches the Rfam family "Bacterial small subunit ribosomal RNA", at positions 524 to 776 of the family's 1533-position model. The record is from RNAcentral.